AUGAAUAAGCCAGAAGAUAGUCAGCACAGAAGCCUCCCUACAACCUGGAAAAAGAAAUGAGCUUUCACUUUGAAUAUCACACAGACAUACUGAGGUGGGAAACUACAUGUGCGUGCUUGACACAACUUGAAAACAAUACAAAACAACAAAUCACAAUUGCAAAAUCAUACAACACAAAUGGAAUCACAGUCCAUAAGGGAGGCCAUGAAAGAGAGAGUGCAUGUGGUGGACAUAUUAAGCUGAUAUGCAGACCUGGUAAGUUUCCAAAAUGUUCUGGGACUAAAUCAGGGACAGGAAUACACAGAGGGAAGCCCAUACUUGGUCGAGGUUGGUUCACAGCAGAAAUGACAGUGUAAAGAUCAAUAACAGUCCCUUGUUACUGAGAGGGCACCGUUUUCACAUUCAGAAGGGCUUGUCCCUGGACUACAUAACUGCCCAGUUAUUUUUCUUCGGUAAAUCAAAGCUAUCAAUUACAGCCUCCUAGAGCAGCUACUCCAGCUGCUGUAGGAUAGACAGGGCUGAAAAGGAAAAUCAUUGACUGUGCAUAGCUCUUUCUGGACUUGUCUCCUGCCAGGGAUGGUGUCAGACAAGUGCUGAAGGCACUGUUUGUUUCCUGCCCCAAUGCUGAGCUCAGACCACAACCGAAUCCAGAGCCUGCCAUUUAUCACUUGACCACGUACAUCUGAACCUGCAAGACCCUCGCACAGCCUUCACUGAGACUCCAAUCUUCUAGGUUUCCCUCCAGUGAGCGAACCAGCCAGCUGUGUCAGUGCCAUUCGGAAGUGCAUUCCUGGAUAUGGCAACAGUGAUCAACAUCCCCAUGAUAUGAGAGAUCUGUGGUUAAGCAAUGUACAAGGAGGCUGCCAGGAAAAGAGAUGGCACUAGUUGGAGCUGAAUAUUUCCUGAGGCUUGUAAGUAUACAGCCAGCCCCUGAGCCUGCGACCAUAGCCAAAACCAAAUCAGUCAGAGACCCUCCCUAUUCCUGUACAGCCAAUUGGAAGAGAUAG
This 1007-nucleotide long non-coding RNA is filed under the name Homo sapiens (human). RNAcentral describes it as "non-protein coding LINC01014:7". The record is from RNAcentral. Lineage: Eukaryota; Metazoa; Chordata; Mammalia; Primates; Hominidae.